AAGGUACAACAGACAAUAGCUUGAAGUAAUUCAAGAGGAAAGUCCGGGCUGCAGUGAAGUAGGGUUCCAUCUAAAGGAUGGCUAGGGAAACCUAAGGGAUAGUGCAACAGAAAGUAAACCGCCAUUUAUGGUAAGGGUGAAACGGUAAGGUAAGAGCUUACCAGUGUUUUGAGUAAUCUUAACAGCUAUGUAAACCCAACCCGCAGCAAGAAGAGACGGUAUUUACUUCACAGUUUUUCUCUUCGCAGGAUUGUUUAAGUAAUUUAACAACUAGAUAAAUUAUUGUCAAAUACAAAACGCGGCUUAUAGUUGUGCCUUUAAG
Molecule: RNase P RNA, 322 nt
Filed under: Arcobacter sp.
Lineage: Bacteria; Pseudomonadati; Campylobacterota; Epsilonproteobacteria; Campylobacterales; Arcobacteraceae
Description: RNase P RNA component class A
Rfam family: Bacterial RNase P class A
About the family: Ribonuclease P (RNase P) is a ubiquitous endoribonuclease, found in archaea, bacteria and eukarya as well as chloroplasts and mitochondria. Its best characterised activity is the generation of mature 5'-ends of tRNAs by cleaving the 5'-leader elements of precursor-tRNAs.
Source: RNAcentral